RNAcentral lists this transfer RNA (69 nucleotides) under Pseudomictis brevicornis. Its description in RNAcentral is "tRNA-Val". The record is from RNAcentral. Lineage: Eukaryota; Metazoa; Arthropoda; Insecta; Hemiptera; Coreidae.
CAGGUUAAAUUCUAGGAAUGUUAUUACUUACAAUAAUAAUCAAGGUUUGUGCAAUUCAACCUAACUUGA